AGCCCCGAGGUGUUUCGCACAUCAGAUUGCAAAUCUUAAGGAGCAGACUGAUCGUCUGCCGGGGCUU
RNAcentral lists this transfer RNA (67 nucleotides) under Bembrops curvatura (brownspotted flathead). RNAcentral's name for it is "tRNA-Cys". Lineage: Eukaryota; Metazoa; Chordata; Actinopteri; Perciformes. The record is from RNAcentral.